This 974-nucleotide long non-coding RNA is filed under the name Lynx pardinus (Iberian lynx). Lineage: Eukaryota; Metazoa; Chordata; Mammalia; Carnivora; Felidae. The record is from RNAcentral.
GGAGCCCAGCGUUUGGGGGGGGUAACCCGAGCCCUCGAAGCCCUUGAAGCUGCGGGGGUGGCUUAGCUUCAGUGUUUUGGCCGAGAACACCCUUAAAGCUUAAAAUAAAACCUGCCUGUGGGGUGUGGGGAGGACCGAGGCGUAUGCGCAUCAGCACGCCCCCCCCAUUCCCUCCUCGGCUCUGGUUUGGGGAACAGGAUGCCGAGGGCUUGGACCAGAGGGGCCGGAGCCCCCCACUCCGCCCCCCGCAGCCCCGUGGAUGCUCCAGAUCCCCGACCCACACCCCGGCCGGCCCCAGAUGCCCUCCCACACUUACGAAGGAAAUGCAGGCGGCCAGGAGAAGGAUCCGCACCAGGAGGUCUUCAAACUGCUCUAUCACCAACUCCCACAGGGACUUCCCUGGGAGAAGAGGCAGGGGAGGGGGCCCCCACGGUUAAGGUCUGGUGGAUGAAUGGCUGGGACUCCAGGUGCAGGCUGGGAUCCAGGGGCUGAGAGUGGCCUGAUUUCCACAGCCUAAGCAGGAAGGUUCUGGGGGUGAUGGGCAAGCCGCUUGGUACUGAGAGAAGGACUGAGGGAGCUCGCCAGGAGUCCAGAAACAGGCUCCCCAAAGUUGUGGUUAGUUGUUCAAGGGCUGGAGGCCUCACAGAGAAAGUACCUGGAAACUCCUGCCCCCAGCCAGCCUUUAUUUAGCCUUUGGGGAGGGUAUUUGCCCCAGGAGUCAGUCGGGAGAAGGUGAGGAGAAGGGAGUGAGGGGUGUGGGGAGGAGUGUCAUUAAGAGAGUCCAGAGAUUCCAGUAACUUACCUUCCUCAGCAGGGAGCUCUACCCAGGGAAAAAGAAGAAAAAGACACAUUCAUUUGGGGCUCAGUCUAAUGCCCCCCCCCCCAGGAUUCUGUGGCUAAGGUAAGAGAAUCAGGUCACCAAAAGGGCAUCUGAGGUUCACCAAGGUCAUCCCAGAAAACCUCCCAAAACUCUG